RNAcentral lists this ribosomal RNA (253 nucleotides) under uncultured bacterium. RNAcentral's name for it is "partial 16S ribosomal RNA". It matches the Rfam family "Bacterial small subunit ribosomal RNA", at positions 524 to 776 of the family's 1533-position model. The record is from RNAcentral.
UACGGAGGGUGCGAACGUUGCUCGGAAUCAUUGGGCGUAAAGCGCACGUAGGCGGCGGCGUAAGCGGGAUGUGAAAGCCCAGGGCUCAACCCUGGAAGUGCAUCCCGAACUGUGUCGCUUGAAUCUCGGAGGGGGACAGAGAAUUCCCGGUGUAGAGGUGAAAUUCGUAGAUAUCGGGAGGAAUACCAGUGGCGAAGGCGCUGUCCUGGACGAAGAUUGACGCUGAGGUGCGAAAGCGUGGGGAGCAAACGGG